CAACCCUCAAGCCCUGCUUGGUGUUGGGGCGCUACGCGCAAGCGUAGGCCCUCAAAAUUAGUGGCGGACUCGCUGGAGGUCCGGGCGUAGUAAUACACCUCGCCCGUGGUCCCCCGGCGCGGCCCUGCCGUUAAACCCCCAAAUUUACAGAA
RNAcentral lists this unclassified non-coding RNA (152 nucleotides) under uncultured Sordariales. RNAcentral describes it as "sequence contains ITS2". The record is from RNAcentral. Lineage: Eukaryota; Fungi; Ascomycota; Sordariomycetes; Sordariales.